RNAcentral lists this ribosomal RNA (480 nucleotides) under uncultured bacterium. Its description in RNAcentral is "partial 16S ribosomal RNA". It matches the Rfam family "Bacterial small subunit ribosomal RNA", at positions 28 to 507 of the family's 1533-position model. The record is from RNAcentral.
GACGAACGCUGGCGGCGCGCCUAACACAUGCAAGUCGAGCGAUGAAAUUUUAACCGAUCUCUUCGGAGAGAAGAUAAAAUGGAUUAGCGGCGGACGGGUGAGUAACACGUGAGAAACCUGCCUUUCACAAGGGGAUAGCCUCGGGAAACCGGGAUUAAUACCCUAUGACACAUUUCCUUCGCAUGGAAGAAAUGUUAAAACUCCGGUGGUGAAAGAUGGUCUCGCGCCUGAUUAGCUAGUUGGUGGGGUAACGGCCCACCAAGGCCAUGAUCAGUAACCGGCCUGGGAGGGUGAACGGUCACAUUGGAACUGAGACACGGUCCAAACUCCUACGGGAGGCAGCAGUGGGGAAUAUUGCACAAUGGAGGAAACUCUGAUGCAGCGACGCCGCGUGAGCGAUGAAGGCUUUCGAGUCGUAAAGCUCUGUCCUAUGGGAAGAUAAUGACGGUACCAUAGGAGGAAGCCCCGGCUAACUACGUG